RNAcentral lists this long non-coding RNA (557 nucleotides) under Apteryx owenii (little spotted kiwi). Its description in RNAcentral is "lncRNA (ENSAOWG00000006527.1)". Lineage: Eukaryota; Metazoa; Chordata; Aves; Apterygiformes; Apterygidae. The record is from RNAcentral.
UGGCGGGGGGAGGGGGCCGCCGCAGCCCGCCCCGGCCCGCCGCCCUCGGUCGCCUCGCCGCCCUCCCCUCGUAUCGCCCCCAGCUCUGCCCUCCCGUGAAGCCCCGGCCCUGGGAGUCCCGUCGUUUCUCCCCGCGGCGGCAGGGGCGCUGGCGGGGGGAGCCCGGCGUUUCCAGCCUUGCUGGAGCUCGGCUGCGCCGGUCCCGGGAGGCGUAAAACGUUGUGGCCGUUCUGAGCCAAAGCGGCUUGCUGAGGGAGGAGAGGCCCUGCUUGCCCCAUGCGCCCGGCGAGAGGGCAGCCACCUGCCGCCCUGGGGACCGGGAGCAGUGGCCCAGGAGGUUGUGGUUGGUACAACAUUUGGAAAUGCUAGACUGUGAACUUGCAAAUGAUGAGAGCUUGCAGAACUCUUAUGUGGAAACUGGAUUACAAAGUCAUAAAAUUCCUCACUUUCUGGAUGAAAGUACUUUGUUCCGGUGUAGUAGACCUUGCUGGGAAGUACAGGAAUUGGAACCUAGCUCCAUACUAACCGCACCGAUUCUGCAGUGGACUAAGAAAUAG